This 1419-nucleotide long non-coding RNA is filed under the name Lathyrus oleraceus (garden pea). RNAcentral's name for it is "Pisum sativum (pea) long non-coding RNA (PSAT_LNC004072)". The record is from RNAcentral. Lineage: Eukaryota; Viridiplantae; Streptophyta; Magnoliopsida; Fabales; Fabaceae.
GCCCAUAAGUAAGUUCUAUUAGCAAGUACUUGGAUUAUUAAGUGAUUAUGUGAAUUACAUUCGAGCUUGUCUUUAUUAAUUGAGUUUAAUUUAAUACUUUACUUUUCGUUGCACACUCUAAAAACCCCUAUUUUGAUUACCUUAGAUAAACAUCAUAACAACAGAUAACGAUAGAUUGACACUUGGUCUCUGUGGAUUCGACAAUCUUUUAUAUUACUCUGACGCGUUCGUAUACUUGCGAAAAGCACGCAUCAGAAGGCUCAUCUGAAUAUUGCCUGAGGGACUCAACUAAAUCACGUCAGCAAGACUCAACUAAGUUUUUCUUGAGGCUAGUUUUUCUUUCAUCGAUUUGAGCGUCAUUCCUUCGGAUACGAUGCCGCUUUCCCGGAUGCAUCGCCAUAAUCCUUAGUACUCCCGUCCAUAAUGCGCAAUCGUGUGUGAAGUGUUGACUGGUCAACAAGCGUUAUAUAAGGGGUCGUGGGAUUUAUCCUCCAUGAAUUUCUGGGAAUCAAGAACAUAUUCACAUAGAGACAUUACUAUACUCUAGAAAGACUUGAGAUAGAUUGGACCAACGAUAACAUAAAAAAUAUAUAUACAAAACUUCUUGACUUACGUGCUCUCAACCUCAAAACAUCCCUAAAAUCUUUGACUAAGACUUAAUAACUAAAAAUUAUAACCAAUUUAUACUUUUAGCAAAUUGAAAAAACCAUAAAUGCAACUUUCAUAAAGUUAUGCAAAAGAAAAAAGUAUAAAAUUUUAAGGUGAUAGUAAAAUAAUUAAAUGACAGCUUAUGUGAUAUUGUGUCAUAAGACUUAUUACACAUUUAUUUUUUAUAAGUGUAACCUAUUCUGUUUCAUAGAUAAUUUUUUAUUCUCCCGGGUGGCUACUCAUAUAUGAAUAUGACAAAAGUUAUCGAUGCACUCAAAAUAUUUUGGACAAUCGACGUCAACUUCACAUUUAACUUGAAAUUUAAUAUAUAGUCCUGCAAUGAAAAGAGAUUAUAAAACCAUGAUUUGAAAUACAUGAUAAAAGAUUGUGUACAAACUACAAAGUGAAAUACUAAAUUUAAUAGAACAAAAAUGCAUCUUACCAACUACAUGUGAUGCGACGAGAAAAAAGGAAAUGUAUAGAAUCAAAAUAUAAAAAGAUUUGAGAAGUUCAACCAUAUUUUUUCCACUUUGCAUGUAAAGAUAUGAUUUGAUUUCUUUAUAUCAAUAUAAAGUUCAUGGUCUAUAUAAAUAAUUAGUUAAAUCAUAGUUUUAUCCCUUUCGCUCACCUAAUAAAGAGGCUACAUAAUAAUAAAUGGGAUUUUUCUUCUUCUUUUUUAACCUUUCAUUACUUCUAACUUUUCAUUACUUUUUCAUCUUAGCAAAUGGGCAAUUUUCUUUUGUUUAUCAUGGUAAACUAGGAAAAUAACCC